Molecule: long non-coding RNA, 783 nt
Organism: Alnus glutinosa
Lineage: Eukaryota; Viridiplantae; Streptophyta; Magnoliopsida; Fagales; Betulaceae
Exons: 3
Source: RefSeq, a predicted model, not a curated record
AGGAAGGUGGAAGAAGUUCUCCUUGUCUAUCCAAUUUCCAGCAGCCCUCUAGCACUCCAAGCACGAAUUUCCUUUCAUUUCCUUGAUGUUCUAAGACUCCUAUAAAUAUGGGACAAGCCUUACCUCCCAUUCUACCUUAAGACAAAUUUAUAGAACCAAGAUCCAAAACCAAGACAGCACUAGCAACUCCAAAACCGGUCACUAAAGGCUUAAAAGGGGGCUUUUGUUUCAGAAUUUGUUUGAAAAAGGAGCUAAGAAACUAUACAAGGAAAGUAAGUAUUUCUAUACUUACUGAGAACGAAGCUGGUGGAUUUUUCCAUGAUAUUGUGUUUAUUGUUUUAUUUAAUUUGUUCAUUGCAUGUGGCCGAUCAUGCAUAGCAUGUUGUGUCUAAAAUAAUAUAACGGCUGAUGAGAUAGCCAUCAACAAGCUGAUGUAGUAGCAAGGAGAAGAAAGGCUAGUCAGUGGAUCCAGGGGGUUCAGAGUGACCUAGGGGUGUCCGAAGGCCUAAUAUAUAACUAAUGCUGGGACCGGUAGGAUUCCAGUAAAAACAGGUAAGACUUUAAGUGUGAGGCAACGGGCGUGAACGAACAGGGAUUUAAUGGCCCUGGGUACGAGAGUCUGAAGAAAGAUGAUCAUAAAAUACAAACUAAAUGGUUACUACGAUGCAUAUUCAUACAACCAAUACAUUUGCAUUAUACGCGUGGCUAUAAAGCCAUAUCUGCAUGAUAAGGAAUUUAUUAAGUAAAUCAGUAUUCACCUCAUUAUUGGAAACAGUGGACUCA